Molecule: ribosomal RNA, 393 nt
Filed under: uncultured bacterium
Lineage: Bacteria
Description: partial 16S ribosomal RNA
Rfam family: Bacterial small subunit ribosomal RNA
Source: RNAcentral
AUACGGAAGGUCCGGGCGUUAUCCGGAUUUAUUGGGUUUAAAGGGGGCGCAGGCGGAGAUGCAAGCGUGACGUCAAAUUUCGGGGCUCAACCCCGUCUCGCGUCGCGAACUGCGUCCCUUGGUUGCGGGAAGGGGAGGCGGAACUCGUGGUGUAGCGGUGAAAUGCAUAGAUAUCACGAAGAACUCCGAUCGCGAAGGCAGCCUUCCGGCCCGUCAACGACGCUCAUGCUCGAAGGUGCGGGUAUCAAACAGGAUUAGAUACCCUGGUAGUCCGCACAGUAAACGAUGGACACCCGCGGUUUGGCCUGUAUGGCUGAGCCGCCAAGCGAAAGCGUUAAGUGUCCCACCUGGGGAGUACGCCGGCAACGGUGAAACUCAAAGGAAUUGACGGGG